This is a long non-coding RNA of Equus caballus (horse), 3101 nucleotides long. The record is from Ensembl. Lineage: Eukaryota; Metazoa; Chordata; Mammalia; Perissodactyla; Equidae.
CAGGGGAUUGAGUGGUCCCCUUCCUACCCGGUUUGCCAUCUUGGUUGGCGGAGGGGAAUGUCACAGUGUGGAAGCCGCCUUCAGGGAGCGAAGGCAUCUGGCCCUUGUGUGUCCACACUGAAAUUUGCUGAGAUGUACUUUGUCUUGUCUAGACUUCAGGUGUUCCCCCAUACUGGAGUGUGUAGGGACUGUGUGGGCUCUCUCCAAUCCAGCUGCCCAGCUCUGCCUGUAGCUUUUUCGUUUCUCAAAGAAAUGGUAGGAUCUUGCUCCUUCCCAGGCUCUACUUAGAAAAAGGGCGUGGGUCCCUUCCGAUUUCAAUUUCCGGGUCUGUCAAGGAUAUCUCUUGUUCUCCUGCUGGCAGCUUUCCCCUUCCAUUCCUGCCCUCCAUUUAUGGCAAUGCUUGGGCUUUGGGGGAGGGGGACAGGAAGCAGGGACACAUUAAACUUUUGAACCCACCUGCUUCCCUCUAAUUCUCUUUUCUCUGAAUCCAGAGCCAUUUAGUUAAUCUAAAGAAGCACUCUUUUUUUUUGAGGAAGAUUAGCCCUGAGCUAACAUCUGCCGCCAAUCAUCCUCUUUUUGCUGAGGAAGACUGGCCCUGAACUAACAUUCGUGCCCAUCUUCCUCUACUUUAUAUGUGGGAUGCCUGCCACAGCAUGGCUUGACAAGUGGUGCAUAGGUCCGCACCCAGAUCCCAACGGGCGAGCCCCAGGCCACCAAAGUGGAAUGUGUGCACUAACCGCUGCACCACUGGCCGGCCCCAGAAACACUUUUCAGUUUGUGGUGGAGGACCACUUUUGUUUUAUUUUCAAUUGUUGUGAAUUAUAUUUUUGGUCCAUACACUGUUCAAUAAGCUGAGUCUGCCAAUCAUGCAUUUGGAUAUUGUGGCAACAUCAGAUUGCUAUAAAAGUUUCUACAUGAUUGCUCUCAGUAUCUGUACUUAACUUAUCACGGGCCAGUAACAGCUAAUGGACCAGCAGUGGUCCAGAGGCCACAUUAACUAACUUGGUAUAGAGGCUCGGUCACCUCCUCAUCUGCUCUUCUAAAUCUGAUAAAGACAUUUGAAAUGAAAAAUUCCAAGAACAAGACUUCUUUUUCCUGUGCAUUCUGCUGUGUCGUUCUUUCCCUAAGCCAGUAGGUGUAGAAUGUUGAGAAAAGUGGUGAUGAGGUCACAGAAAAUAGUGGAAAUGAAAAUUGGAACAGUUAACACAGCAAGUUCCACUCUUGCUGCAAAAAUGAGAAGUAUAAAAUUGUUUUUUUAUUUUAUUUAUUUAUUUAUUUUUGAGGAAGAUUAGCCCUGAGCUAACUACUGCCAAUCCUCCUCUUUUUGCUGAGGCAGACUGGCCCUGAGCGAACAUCCGUGUGCAUCUUCCUCUACUUUAUAUGUGGAACGCCUACCACAGCAUGGCUUUUGCCAAGCGGUGCCACAUCCGCACCCGGGAUCCAAACUGGCGAACCCCGGGCCGCUGAGAAGCCGAACAUGCAAACUUAACCGCUGCACCACCGGGCCAACCCCUAAAAUUGUUUUUUUAAAAAAAGAAAAAGAGAACAAGAGACUAAUCAUAAUUUGUAAAUAGAUUGCAACCUACAAAAACCAAGAGAAUUUUUUUUUAAGAUUGGCACCUGAGCUAACAACUGUUGCCAAUCCUUUUUUUCCCUCCUUCUUCUUCUCCUGAAAGGCCCCCCAGUACAUAGUUGUAUAUUCUAGUUGUGAGUGCCUCUGGUUGUGCCAUGUGGGACGCCGCCUCAGCAUGGCCUGAUGAGCGGUACCAUGUCCAUGCCCAGGAUCCGAACCCACGAAACCCUGGACUGCCAAAGCAGAGCGCACAAACUUAGCCACUUGGCCACAGGGCCAGCCCCUCAAGAGAAUUUUUAUUAAGAGAAUUCAGUAGGAUGGAUGGUUACAAAGAAUAUAAAAAUCAGGAGUGCUUCUAUACUAGAAUAACAUUUAAAAGCAAUAAAAUAAGGGUCUCAUUCACGAUGAUUAUAAAACAAAAUACUUGGAGAUCAAAUAAAUAGGAAGUUACUGAAUAUUUGAAGAAAAUCAUAAAAUCUUACUGAGAUACUUAAAAGAGGAUUUUAUUCAACUAGUAAGUCUAUAUUGUAAAGAGAUGUAAAUUCGUCUGCAAAUGCAAUCCCAUUCUAGUCAAAAUCACAUAGGAGGGGUGAGGAGGACUUGACAAAGUGAUUCUCAGAUGCACCUUGAAAUUAAAGGUAUGAUAAUAGCCAGAAAAAAUUUCAAAGGAGAAUCUUCAGGGGGUACUUACUUUCUUUGACAUUAAGUGGCGUUAUAAAGCUGCAGAAAUUAAAACAGGGUAAUUCUGCACAGACAUCAAAAGGGAAAUCAAUGGAACAGGAAGACUAUCCAAAAAGAUGCCCAAAUAUCAAUAAAAACUGGGUAUAUGAUGAAUGGGUAAUUAAAAUCACAAGAGAGAUGAUGAGUUGUUCAAUAAAUUGUGUUAGAAUAGCUGAUUAGCAAAUGUGCCCAGUUGUCCUGGGUUCCUGUUUGGAUUGUACUUACUCAUCCCUUCAGGCUGUGUGUCACCACGUGACUUGCCUUGGCCAUUGAAAUGUGAGUUGGGGUGAUAUGUGCUACUUAUGAAAAGAAGCUUUAAGGGCCAGUGCACAGUUUCCCUUGUUCUCCCCUCCGCCUUGGUCCCGGAGUGAGGAUAUUGCACAGCAGAGCCCCCAGCUGACCCAUAAUGAAGGUAUAGUGUGAGAAAGAAACAGACCUUUGUUGUUUAAGCCACUGGAUUUGGAAGUUUCUGUUAUGUAGCAUAACCCAGCCUAUCCUGACUGAAACAAUCUCUGUCUUACACUUCACACCUGUCAGAGGAAAAACAGUUCACACCAGUGUAUUAGAAAUGUGAACCAUGGGGCCGGCCCCGUGGCUGAGUGGUUAAGUUCUCGAGCUCUGCUUUGGUGGCCCAGGAUUUCGCCAGUUCGAGUCCUGGGCGCAGACCUGGCAUCGCUCAUCAGGCCAUGCCAAGGCAGCAUCCUGCAUGCCACAACUAGAAGGACGCACAACUAAAAAUACAUAGCUAUGUACCAGGGAGGAUUUGGGAGAAAAAGGAAAAAUAAAAUCUUAAAAAAAAAAAGAAACG